AAGGAUUUAAGUUAUUUAAACUUUUAACCUUCAAAGUUGAAAAAAGGUGUUACCUAAGCCUUA
Molecule: transfer RNA, 63 nt
Filed under: Cucujoidea sp. 19 KM-2017
Lineage: Eukaryota; Metazoa; Arthropoda; Insecta; Coleoptera
Description: tRNA-Trp
Source: RNAcentral